CUGGGCUCUGCCCAGCGGCUGCGGCUGGAGGAAGGCUAUGCUUCUCCUGCUUCCUGCUUCCUCUGCCCCCAUCUACCCCGUCUGACUCGCCUUGCCUGUCCUCCCACCUGCCUGUUGGCUGGCAGUCUUGGCCUCUCCUAGGAAGGUCCAACCCAGUUCCUCCCACCCUCCAAAGAGAAAGCUGACUGCCUUUGAGUUGGGUGCUCAUGGGGGACACAGAGACAGGAGGAGAAGGUACUUAGCUCCUCCUUAUAACCCAAUCUCAUCUUCAGGCAGGAGCCUCAUAAGUCCCUCCUGCCACUUGGCUGCAGAAACUACUCUGGGAGGUUAACUGGAAGGCAGAAACCACCAGAUGUUGAACACAUGUCUUCUGGAAGAAUCAGCGCUGCAAUUUUUCCCCGGGAAAUCUCCCCCGUCUGAUGUCAGUCCCUCUCUACCUUGAAUGGACCUUCCUCUGCCCCUGCACCAAGCGAUAGACCUGAGACCCAGCCUGGACACAGGAUUGGUGGAAGACUGGGCAUGUGACCCGGUGAGAGCCAAUCAGAGGAAGGACUGAGAUUUUUUUUUUUUCUUUGAAGAGAGACCCACUUUCCCCUUGGGAGGAAAAGGAUGCCUAAAGCUUCUGAGCCCCAAAGCAGAACCAAGACCUGGCCAGGAGGACAUUAACUGAAAUCUUUGAACUCAUGAAUCUUAUUGUGAGUCAGUGAGGAAUAAUGAUUAUUACUAUGAUUUUUUUUUUUUUUGCUUGCAUCUAUUUGAGUUUUCAGUCACUGACAACCAAAUGUUCUGACUGAACAUGUCAAUAAGGUGCACUUUCUCUUUUCCUCUCUCUUUAUAGAUAGACUUAGGAAUAUAAAAUAUAUGUAUCCUGUCUAUCUUUAAUUAAAAUGACAGCGCAUGUUGGAGA
Non-coding RNA from Ictidomys tridecemlineatus (thirteen-lined ground squirrel), 907 nucleotides. NCBI's taxonomy places the organism in Eukaryota, Metazoa, Chordata, Mammalia, Rodentia, Sciuridae. The record is from RefSeq and is a predicted model, not a curated record.